This 252-nucleotide ribosomal RNA is filed under the name uncultured bacterium. RNAcentral describes it as "partial 16S ribosomal RNA". It matches the Rfam family "Archaeal small subunit ribosomal RNA", at positions 473 to 720 of the family's 1478-position model. The record is from RNAcentral.
ACACCGGCAGCUCAAGUGGUGGCCAUUUUUAUUGGGCCUAAAGCGUUCGUAGCCGGCUUGAUAAGUCUCUGGUGAAAUCCCAUAGCUUAACUGUGGGAAUUGCUGGAGAUACUAUUAGGCUUGAAAAAGGCCGGGAGAGGUUAGGGGUACUCCCAGGGUAGGGGUGAAAUCCUAUAAUCCUGGGAGGACCACCUGUGGCGAAGGCGCCUAACUGGAACGGACCUGACGGUGAGUAACGAAAGCCAGGGGCGC